UCGACCAGAGGACAGGGGAGAAAGAAGCAAACCCUAACUCUCACAAAUCUCUCAAAUUGAAGGUCCAAAUCAAGUCCAAAUCAAAAUCCGAGUACGAAUUAGUGAUCUUCAAUGAAAAAGGAGUCACGAGUUUGACGCUUAAACGAGCUAGGUGGAGGCUUGGGAAAGAAGCGGUCAAAUAAAUCAAGUACGAGAAGAGAAGCGCAAGCCGGAUGAGAGGUGAAUGUCGAGAGUCCCGGAUGAAGAUCAAGCGUCGAGCGAGAACCAAACACACAUUAAAUGAAGCUUCCGCGUCAAAUCUUGAUUUGUUUUGCUAUAAGUGAAUUAUGUAAACACUUAUAAAUAUGUUUUUGAAAUGUUGUAAACAUACGGGAAUGUUGG
This is a long non-coding RNA of Helianthus annuus (common sunflower), 381 nucleotides long. RefSeq lists it as uncharacterized. The record is from RefSeq and is a predicted model, not a curated record. The transcript is spliced from 3 exons. NCBI's taxonomy places the organism in Eukaryota, Viridiplantae, Streptophyta, Magnoliopsida, Asterales, Asteraceae.